This 4446-nucleotide long non-coding RNA is filed under the name Gallus gallus (chicken). RNAcentral's name for it is "lncRNA (ENSGALG00010028664.1)". Lineage: Eukaryota; Metazoa; Chordata; Aves; Galliformes; Phasianidae. The record is from RNAcentral.
ACUGUGCAAAGGACAGGAAUGGGAAGGCUGGGAUCUGAGUGCUGACUUGGGGCAGAAUUCAGGUCUGAGGCUCUGUGCAAACUGCAGUGGAGAUGCUCAGAAUAACGCGUGACCUGUUAUACAACACGAUGUUAUGUCCGUGUUUUGCACCGCUUGAACUGCUUUGUUCUCAGCACAGCGCCUCGCUGAGUGGAUCCUGCACAAGUAGGGCAGCACUGCUGCCUGCACCAUGGUGACUUUCACACCACACUGUACUCAUAUCCCAGCACACAGAUGAGGUUCCCCAGGCCUCCUGGCUGCUGUGAAUCCCGAGCAUCCAAUCCUGCUGGGAUAUACUGGGAUCCAACCAUGGGAGACCGGAGCAGCUCCUCCAGCAGCACCUUGGUGCCCAUGUGGAGAUGGAGGAGCACACAACCAUGUCAAUGGGGCAUCUCACUCCUAAGACAUUCUGGGGUACGUGGGAAGGUGCAGUGAUCUGCUCCCAUAGCUGAAGGAAGUAACCCGAAGAUUUCAUUAGGGAUUUACAGACAAAUAAAGCAUCGACUGGGAGAUGAGAAAAACAGCGUGCACCCAACAGCCCAGCAGGGAGGAGGUGGAUAAAGAGAACAGUCCUCCGAAGCCAUGAAGAAGAAAUUCCAUGAUUCCUGCUGCUGGGAAGUGGAGCUGUGAAGCUUGCAGGACUGCUCGGUGCCAGCAGAGGGAAGCAUCCCCCCGGCUCCGGGGACAGCUUCUAUCGGCCUUCAGUGCCUGCAGGAGUCCGCAGGAAAGAUGAAGAGGGUCUGUUUAUCCGGGAGUGGAGAGAUAGGAUGAGGGGCAGCGGCUUUCAGCUAAAAGAGAGGAGAUUUAGAUUGGAUAUUAGGGUAAAUAUCCUUACCAUGGAGUUGAACAGGCUGCCCAGAGAAGCUGUGGAUACCCCAUCCAUGAAGAUGCUCAAGGUUGGAUGGGGCUUUGAGCAGUGGAUCCAGUGGAAGGUAUCACUGCCCAUUGGAUGGCCAUUAAGGUCCCUUCCAACCCACACUGUUCUGUGAUGGAUGAUUCUAUGACCACCAGGCAGCUCUUCCAAAAGAGGGCAAGGCAGAGAUGCCCAAAGUGUUUGGAUGCCUCCAUGCACUUCUGCUCAGUGCCUGGAACAGGAGCUGUUGUCUGGGGGCUCCCAAAAGGUAGCAGGGUGAAAGAAGCAAAUCCAGAAAGAGGUUCAGCCCGAUUUUGCCUCUGACUCGAACACUCCAAGAGCAGGCAGAAUUGACCCCCAAGCAGAGGCACUGCAGCUCACGCGCAGUAUUUCCCCAGUGUGGGAUAAAGUCACGAUUCUCUCCUAUUUGCAGUAUUGCUCUUUUAUUGGUGAUUCUCCUAACGGUGCACCUGGGGCAGCAAUCUGUCUACCCUGAGCUUUUUGCACAGCGAGGGCCCUACAAGCUUUGCAGUUUGUGCUUUAAUAUUUUAUCUGCUGGUCCCUGACUGGAAAAGAAAAUCCAACCACUCUCAGUGGAAAUUAUUGGUCCUGCUGUGUGACUCACAACAGAGGCUGUAUCAGGUUUGAAACACGCAGGUGGCAGACAGACACCCGCUGGUUCCUUUGGACUCUUUACAGGCAUUUUUUUUUUCAAUCCCAACCCAGGGGUUCCUCAGCCCACAGCUGAUUUAUUCUCUCUGCUCUGCAGGAAUUAGCUUUGCCUUAUACUUGUGUAGCCAUACAACACACAGCUCCUAUCUCAAAGCACAUCUGGAGGCACCUUGCUCAUCACUGUUUGAACUGUCCAAGAGGGGAUAGAGCAGGGAAGCUGUCUCCCAUCACCCUGCAUGGAUGAUACCAGUGCCUUCUGGGCCACUUUCUCCCAGCUAAAACCCCCAGCAUCAUUUCCAUCUCAUUCAUGCUUGGAAACGUGAAGUGGGACCAUGGGGGCUGCAGCCUCAGGGCAGUGGGGAUGUGUGCAGCCUCUACUGCAGGAUGGGGUGCCUUCAGCCUCACCCCAGCACAGUUAUCACCUCUGAGCUGCCUCUGACUGUUUGCAAUACCUGGAGAGAAAAAAACAAAGGAAGGUAGUGGAUAAUUACUGUUUAUACCAGCUCUGUAAUGUCUUCCAGCUCAGCUGGACCAAACAAAACAACGCCAGGAACUGUCAUUAGGGCUAUUACUGCGUUGUGCUACCGCAGGAUUUCAGAUCCCCUGUGAGGAGUCAGCACGGAGGGAGACCACAGAGAAAACCUGUCCUGGGAGCUGGCAGGAGGCACACAACUCCAGUGAGAAAUAAACUUCGAGUGCCUCGAGCCCUGAGAUGCACCACAGCUGCUGGGAUGAAGCACUACUGUGCUGGCACAGAUCUCUCCAUAGACACUUAGAAAAAUUGGGAUUUCUCUCUUAUCACACCACAGCUCAGCCAAAGCUGAUCUUGCUGCUGAGUUUGUGCUAAUAUUGUUCUUGCAGGAGUAGCAUCACAACAAGAGCAUCCCUGGAUGAGCUGGAGCUUGUUUUCGUCACCUCCGCAGAGCCAUGAGCGUGCCGGGGCUGCUGUGCUCUGUGCACGAAAAGAGGAUUUGGGAAACUGCUCAUUGGGAAAUAGUCCCAUGGGUGCCACAGGGAGAGGUGGGUUGGGCUGCAGAUGGGACAGCUCCAUCUCCCUGUUCCCAUCGCAGUGCCGGGAGAUAGGCAAGGACAUGGCCUGGAGGCUGGGUUCCCAGGGCUGCCUCCUCCGCUGUCACCGGUGUUGUGCAACCCUUCCCUCCUUACAGAGGGUGUGGGUAGGAACCCUCUCACGUGGAUGCAGCUCAGGGUGCAGCUGAGCUUAGGAAGUGGCCAUGCACCAGCACCAGCGUGUGGUCCCUCCUUUGUGCCACGUUCUGCACCGCAGCUGCUCCAGGGAUGCAUCCAGCCCUGCAUUAAGGUCACCACAAAGGUCUACAAGAGAGCGGUGCAGUCGUGAUGUGAGGAUGUUUUAUUGUGCAGCAGCUGUGCUCAGACUGCUGUGCAGGCACAGGCUGUUUAAUGGCUCAUAGAAGGACACGAGCACUGCUUGUUAUCCAGCAAGGCUGAGUUGGAACCACAAAUGAUGCUCUCUGCAUUUUGUCUGCUUUAGGAAAGAGAAGCAUGGCUCGUGCCAGGUGGUGGUUUCAGGAGGAUGGAGAGGAUCUCCAAGCACAUGGGAUGGAAGGUGCGUCUAUGCACGCAGGUGAGAAAGCAGAUGAGGCAGUGGGACUGAGCAGAGUGGAAGGAGAGCUGCAGGAAUGGGCCUGGAGGUUCUCCAGGUCUGACCAAGCUGGAGGGCACCAACACAGCCAGCAACAGCAGGUUUAAAGCAGGUGAAAGGAAGCAGUUCUCGACCCAGCAUGCAGUUAAACUGGAGCUCAGUGCCAUAGGGCAUGGCCUCAAAAAUGGCCUUUAAAAGACUGAGAUGCAUGUGUAUGGCAUUGCUCUGCUCUGACCUAUGACAUAUGAUGGGCCAGGACUUCCAGCCAAGGAAGUGCUAAGUCACCGACCACCAGAAGUUGGGCAGGAUUGUUUCCUGCUUCCUUCCUUUUAACAGUCCUUCAUAGAACAGAUACUGCCACGGGCAGGACCAUGGGACCAUAGAAUCAUGGAAUCAUUAAGGUUGAAAAAGACCUCUAACAUCACCAAGCCCAACCCAGCCCAUCCCACUAUGCCCACUAACCAUGUCCCCAAGAGCCACAUCCCCACGUUUCUUGAACACUUCAGGGAUGGUGCCCCCACCACUUCCCUGGGCAGACUGAUCCUUCUUUGCUGCUUGCAGAGUUAGAAGGAAGGCACCAGCUCCCCAUGCUUUACUCUGUUUUUCUCAAUAAGAAGCAGUGGAUGGAGGCGACCACAGUGAUUUCUCCCUUCCUGACACAAAGGCAUCACCUCCUGCUUUCUGCCCAGCAGGGAAGGGAGUAAAGGCACCCGGGGGGUCUCCCCUCAAGGACUUGGCAGCCUCUGGCUCCCAGGGCUGCUGCCAACACUGCUAUUGGGUCUCUCACCAAACUUGCACAAACCGUCACCAUCUCCUCCUGCCAAAGCUUUGCGCCACUCUCAGAAGGGAUUGCAGUGUGGGAUAAACCCGGUGCAAAGCACUGCCAGGCUUCUGCCAGCUUAGAUGGAAAGCUGCAGACUCAGCUCAAGUGAGAAGGAGUCCUCCUCAUCUCUUUCCAUUUUUGAGUCUCUUUAGAGUCAGGAAUCUUCCAAGUAGGAAAGGAUGGAAGGGUUGGAAGGUGCUGCUGAGAAUGAGGGGAUUUUCUUUCUCCAGAUGCAGAUAGCUCAGGCUUUGGAAAGAGAAUAGUCCAUGUUCAGCCCCUGCACACUCAGCAGCUCCCACUGGUUACGCAAGCCUGAGUCUGCUGCGCAUGUGCAUGACCACACUGAGAAGUGCAUGUGACAGAUGACAGCACUGGCAGAACUUCAUUUAAUUAUCACUGUUAUUGUUGUUCCUAUAAGCAAUUAAAUGUUUUGGUUUU